This 689-nucleotide ribosomal RNA is filed under the name uncultured bacterium. Its description in RNAcentral is "bacterial SSU rRNA". It matches the Rfam family "Bacterial small subunit ribosomal RNA", at positions 232 to 917 of the family's 1533-position model. The record is from RNAcentral.
CGCGGCCUAUCAGCUUGUUGGUGGGGUGAUGGCCUACCAAGGCUUUGACGGGUAGCCGGCCUGAGAGGGUGACCGGUCACAUUGGGACUGAGAUACGGCCCAGACUCCUACGGGAGGCAGCAGUGGGGAAUAUUGCACAAUGGGCGAAAGCCUGAUGCAGCGACGCCGCGUGAGGGAUGGAGGCCUUCGGGUUGUAAACCUCUUUCGCUCAUGGUCAAGCCGCAACUUAGGGUUGUGGUGAGGGUAGUGGGUAAAGAAGCGCCGGCUAACUACGUGCCAGCAGCCGCGGUAAUACGUAGGGCGCGAGCGUUGUCCGGAAUUAUUGGGCGUAAAGGGCUUGUAGGCGGUUGGUCGCGUCUGCCGUGAAAUCCUCUGGCUUAACUGGGGGCGUGCGGUGGGUACGGGCUGACUUGAGUGCGGUAGGGGAGACUGGAACUCCUGGUGUAGCGGUGGAAUGCGCAGAUAUCAGGAAGAACACCGGUGGCGAAGGCGGGUCUCUGGGCCGUUACUGACGCUGAGGAGCGAAAGCGUGGGGAGCGAACAGGAUUAGAUACCCUGGUAGUCCACGCCGUAAACGUUGGGCACUAGGUGUGAGGCUCCUUUCCGGGGGUUUUGCGCCGUAGCUAACGCAUUAAGUGCCCCGCCUGGGGAGUACGGCCGCAAGGCUAAAACUCAAAGGAAUUGACGGC